Molecule: ribosomal RNA, 807 nt
Filed under: uncultured bacterium
Lineage: Bacteria
Description: bacterial SSU rRNA
Rfam family: Bacterial small subunit ribosomal RNA
Source: RNAcentral
UGCAAGUAGGACGCACAGUCUAUACCGUAGCUUGCUACACCAUAGGCUGUGAGUUGCGAACGGGUGAGUAACGCGUAGGUAACCUGCCUAUUAGAGGGGGAUAACUAUUGGAAACGAUAGCUAAUACCGCAUAACAGUAUGUAACACAUGUUAGAUGCUUGAAAGAUGCAAUUGCAUCGCUAGUAGAUGGACCUGCGUUGUAUUAGCUAGUAGGUAGGGUAAUGGCCUACCUAGGCAACGAUACAUAGCCGACCUGAGAGGGUGAUCGGCCACACUGGGACUGAGACACGGCCCAGACUCCUACGGGAGGCAGCAGUAGGGAAUCUUCGGCAAUGGGGGGAACCCUGACCGAGCAACGCCGCGUGAGUGAAGAAGGUUUUCGGAUCGUAAAGCUCUGUUGUUAAGGAAGAACGAGUGUGAGAAUGGAAAGUUCAUACUGUGACGGUACUUAACCAGAAAGGGACGGCUAACUACGUGCCAGCAGCCGCGGUAAUACGUAGGUCCCGAGCGUUGUCCGGAUUUAUUGGGCGUAAAGCGAGCGCAGGCGGUUAGAAAAGUCUGAAGUGAAAGGCAGUGGCUCAACCAUUGUAGGCUUUGGAAACUGUUUAACUUGAGUGCAGAAGGGGAGAGUGGAAUUCCAUGUGUAGCGGUGAAAUGCGUAGAUAUAUGGAGGAACACCGGUGGCGAAAGCGGCUCUCUGGUCUGUAACUGACGCUGAGGCUCGAAAGCGUGGGGAGCGAACAGGAUUAGAUACCCUGGUAGUCCACGCCGUAAACGAUGAGUGCUAGGUGUUAGGUCCUUUCCGGG